GUGGAUGAAACUGAUGACGUAGAUUCUGUUAAAGACCAUUCCAGUGUGCAAACAGAUGAUACUGUUCCAAAGCUCAAAAGGACCAAAAGCUUUCUGAAACCAGUACUUGAUUUCUCUGAUGCUCUCUAUGAUUCAACUGACAGUGACGAUACUGAGAAUCCUUCCACUUUUAGUUCAAAAAUGACUUUACAAAGGCCGAAGCGAGGCUGUUGCCAUCCGUAGAUUUAUGCCAAGG
This is a long non-coding RNA of Tachysurus vachellii, 235 nucleotides long. RefSeq lists it as uncharacterized. The record is from RefSeq and is a predicted model, not a curated record. Lineage: Eukaryota; Metazoa; Chordata; Actinopteri; Siluriformes; Bagridae. The transcript has 3 exons.